GACGAACGCUGGCGGCGUGCUUAACACAUGCAAGUCGAACGGAAAGGCCCCUUUGGGGGUACUCGAGUGGCGAACGGGUGAGUAACACGUGAGUAACCUGCCCUUGACUUCGGGAUAACUUCAGGAAACUGGGGCUAAUACCGGAUAGGAGUCCUUGCUGCAUGGUGGGGGUUGGAAAGCUUCGGCGGUUUUGGAUGGACUCGCGGCUUAUCAGCUUGUUGGUGGGGUAGUGGCUUACCAAGGCUUUGACGGGUAGCCGGCCUGAGAGGGCGACCGGCCACAUUGGGACUGAGAGACGGCCCAGACUCCUACGGGAGGCAGCAGUGGGGAAUAUUGCACAAUGGGCGGAAGCCUGAUGCAGCAACGCCGCGGGCGGGAUGACGGCCUUCGGGUUGGAAACCGCUUUCAGCAGGGGCGAAGCUUGUGGUGACGGUACCUGCAGAAGAAGCACCGGCUAACUACGUG
RNAcentral lists this ribosomal RNA (465 nucleotides) under uncultured bacterium. Its description in RNAcentral is "partial 16S ribosomal RNA". It matches the Rfam family "Bacterial small subunit ribosomal RNA", at positions 28 to 507 of the family's 1533-position model. The record is from RNAcentral.